GUAGGUGACUAGCGUUGUCCGGAUUUACUGGGCGUAAAGAGCGCGCAGGCGGUCGUUCAAGUCGAGUGUGAAAGCCCCCGGCUCAACUGGGGAGGGUCAUUCGAUACUGAUCGACUCGAAGGCAGGAGAGGGAAGCGGAAUUCCCGGUGUAGUGGUGAAAUGCGUAGAUAUCGGGAGGAACACCAGUGGCGAAGGCGGCUUCCUGGCCUGUUCUUGACGCUGAGGCGCGAAAGCUAGGGGAGCAAACGGGAUUAGAUACCCCGGUAGUCCUAGCCGUAAACGAUGGACACUAGGUGUUGGUGGUAUCAACCCCACCAGUGCCGAAGCUAACGCAUUAAGUGUCCCGCCUGGGGAGUACGGCCGCAAGGCUA
Molecule: ribosomal RNA, 371 nt
Filed under: uncultured bacterium
Lineage: Bacteria
Description: bacterial SSU rRNA
Rfam family: Bacterial small subunit ribosomal RNA
Source: RNAcentral